RNAcentral lists this transfer RNA (73 nucleotides) under Dictyocaulus viviparus (bovine lungworm). It matches the Rfam family "tRNA". From Rfam's summary of the family: Transfer RNA (tRNA) molecules are approximately 80 nucleotides in length. Their secondary structure includes four short double-helical elements and three loops (D, anti-codon, and T loops). Further hydrogen bonds mediate the characteristic L-shaped molecular structure. tRNAs have two regions of fundamental functional importance: the anti-codon, which is responsible for specific mRNA codon recognition, and the 3' end, to which the tRNAs corresponding amino acid is attached (by aminoacyl-tRNA synthetases). tRNAs cope with the degeneracy of the genetic code in two manners: having more than one tRNA (with a specific anti-codon) for a particular amino acid; and 'wobble' base-pairing, i.e. permitting non-standard base-pairing at the 3rd anti-codon position. Lineage: Eukaryota; Metazoa; Nematoda; Chromadorea; Rhabditida; Metastrongylidae. The record is from Rfam by way of RNAcentral.
ACAUCGGUAGUGUACUGGAUCAGCACAGCAGACUCGAUAUCUGUAAGUGCGGGUUCGAGUCCCGCCUUAGGUU